Molecule: ribosomal RNA, 360 nt
Filed under: Triticum aestivum (bread wheat)
Lineage: Eukaryota; Viridiplantae; Streptophyta; Magnoliopsida; Poales; Poaceae
Description: partial small subunit ribosomal RNA
Source: RNAcentral
AUGACGGGCAAGGCGAAGCCGAAGAAGCACACGGCCAAGGAGAUCGCGGCUAAGAUCGACGCGGCGACGACCAACCGCGGCGGGGGCAAGGCCGGGCAGAAGGACCGGCUCGGGCAGGAGAAGGGCGGCCACGCCAAGAUGGAGUGCCCGCUCUGCAAGGUGACGGCCCCCGACGUCAAGUCGAUGCAGAUCCACCACGAGGCGCGCCACCCCAAGCUCCCCUUCGACCCCGAGAAGAUCAACAACCUGCACGGCUCCACCGCCGCGGCUCCCGCGGCGGCGGCCGCCGUCGCCUCCACCUCCAAGCCCAAGCCCGGCGUCCGCGGCAGCCUCAAGAAGACGGGCGAUGAACAGAAAUGA